CCUACGGGAGGCAGCAGUGAGGAAUAUUGGUCAAUGGGCGUAAGCCUGAACCAGCCAAGUCGCGUGAGGGAUGAAGGUUCUAUGGAUCGUAAACCUCUUUUAUAAGGGAAUAAAGUGUGGGACGUGUCCUAUUUUGUAUGUACCUUAUGAAUAAGGAUCGGCUAACUCCGUGCCAGCAGCCGCGGUAAUACGGAGGAUCCGAGCGUUAUCCGGAUUUAUUGGGUUUAAAGGGUGCGUAGGCGGCCUUUUAAGUCAGCGGUGAAAGUCGGUGGCUCAACAAUAGAAUUGACGUUGAAACUGGGGGGCUUGAGUAUGUUUGAGGCAGGCGGAAUGCGUGGGGUAGCGGUGAAAUGCUGAGAUAUCACGCAGAACCACGAUUGCGAAGGCAGCCUGCCAAGCCAUGACUGACGCUGAUGCACGAAAGCGUGGGGAUCAAACAGGAUUAGAUACCCCGGUAGUC
This 460-nucleotide ribosomal RNA is filed under the name uncultured bacterium. RNAcentral's name for it is "partial 16S ribosomal RNA". It matches the Rfam family "Bacterial small subunit ribosomal RNA", at positions 338 to 795 of the family's 1533-position model. The record is from RNAcentral.